UACGUAGGGUGCGAGCGUUAAUCGGAAUUACUGGGCGUAAAGCGUGCGCAGGCGGCUUUGCAAGACAGAUGUGAAAUCCCGCAGCUCAACUGCGGAACUGCCUUUGAUACUGGGUAUCUUGAGUAUGGAAGAGGUGAGUGGAAUUCCGCGUGUAGCAGUGAAAUGCGUAGAUAUGCGGAGGAACACCAAUGGCGAAGGCAAUCCCCUGGGCCUGUACUGACGCUCAUGCACGAAAGCGUGGGGAGCAAACAGG
RNAcentral lists this ribosomal RNA (253 nucleotides) under uncultured bacterium. Its description in RNAcentral is "partial 16S ribosomal RNA". It matches the Rfam family "Bacterial small subunit ribosomal RNA", at positions 524 to 776 of the family's 1533-position model. The record is from RNAcentral.